AUUGGAGGGCAAGUCUGGUGCCAGCAGCCGCGGUAAUUCCAGCUCCAGUAGCGUAUAUUAAAGUUGUUGCGGUUAAAACGUUCGUAGUUGAACUUGUGCUUCAUACGGGUAGUACACCUAAAAUUUGGGAUGAUACAUUACCUAUUGUAUGAUAGCGUAUUACCGGUGGAGUUCUUAUAUAUAUAAUAUAUUUAUAUAUUAUUAUAUUCCUCCUAUAUAAACCUGAUUCAAUUCUCUUUACCGAGUGUUGCUUUGGGCCGGUACAGUUACUUUGAACAAAUUAGAGUGCUUAAAGCAGGCUCUUAAUGCCUGAAUAUUCUGUGCAUGGAAUAAUGGAAUAAGACCUCUGUUCUAAUUUCAUUGGUUUUUAGAUCAAGAGGUAAUGAUUAAUAGAAGCAGUUGGGGGCAUUAGUAUUACGACGCGAGAGGUGAAAUUCUUGGACCGUCGUAAGACUAACUUAAGCGAAAGCAUUUGCCAAAGAUGUUUUCAUUAAUCAAGAACGAAAGUUAGAGGUUCGAAGGCGAUCAGAUACCGCCCUAGUUCUAACCAUAAACGAUGCCAGCCAGCAAUUGGGUGUAGCUACUAUUACGGCUCUCUCAGUCGCUUCCCGGGAAACCAAAGCUUUUGGGCUCCGGGGGAAGUAUGGUUGCAAAGCUGAAACUUAAAGGAAUUGACGGAAGGGCACC
Molecule: ribosomal RNA, 687 nt
Filed under: Syntormon singaporensis
Lineage: Eukaryota; Metazoa; Arthropoda; Insecta; Diptera; Dolichopodidae
Description: SSU rRNA
Rfam family: Eukaryotic small subunit ribosomal RNA
Source: RNAcentral